AUGCAGCGCAGAUCCCGUGUUGUUGUGGCUGUGGUGCAGGCUGGCAGCUACAGCUCCGAUUCAACCCCUAGCCUGGGAAAUUCAAAUGCUGCAGUUGCGGCCCUAAGAUUAAAAACAAACAAACAAACAAAAAACCACUGUGUUCUCCCCAUGAAGUUCAUAGCUGAGUGGCCUCUAAGUUUUGUCCUUUCUAACCUCAGAAUCUGCCUUCCCGUGGCAGUGCGGGGUCCAGAGGCCAGAAGCAGGGUCUGCUCCCAGUGUCCCCACAGAAAUAGGAUGUCCUCCUGGGGGGCUUGUCCCUGUUUCUCAGCAAAAGAGACCCCGUGCUCACCAUCAACACCACCCUGGGUCCCAGCUGUCCCUCCUCCUUCCCUCCUCCCACGCACAGCUUCACACAGCAACCCCUCAACCUGCUUCUGAAAAAGAAAAAGAAGGGAGGAGUUCCUGUCAUGGCUCAGUGGUAAUGAACCCGACUAGUAUCCAUGAGGAUGUGCAUUCAAUCCCUGGCCUUGCUCAGUGGGUUAAGGAUCCAGCAUUGCCGUGAGCUCUGGUGAAGGUUGCAGACAUGGCUCGGAUCCUGUGUUGCUGUGGCCGUGGUGUAGGCCAGCAGCUGCAAUUCCAAUUUGACCCCUAGCCUGGGAACUUCCAUAUUCUGUGGGCGCAGCCCUAAAAAGACAAAAAAGAAAGAAAAAGAAACAGAGUGGUAGAGGCUAAAGUUAGGGAAGAAGGAACAGACAAAAGACUGACAAAAACCAUUCCAAAAUAAGGAAUUCUGGCUGUGGUUCGGUGGGUUAAGAAUCCAACUGCAGCAGCUCAGUUUGCUGCAGGGGCACAAGUUCAACCCCUGGCCCAGCAAAGUGGGUUAAAGUUCACAUUAAAAAAAAAAAAAUCUGGGAGUUCCCACUGUGGCUCAGUGGAUUAUGAAUCCGACUAGUAUCCAUGAGGCUGAGGGUUCAAUUCCUAGCCUUGCUCAAUGGGUUAAGGAUCCAGUGUUGCCACAAGGUUUUGGAUGUUUCCAAUACUAUUCGGUGGCACUGCACUGGUCCAGCCAAGGCUGCAAAUCCUGCUCAGAUUCAGUGUUGCUGUGGCUGUGACAUAGGCCAGCCUCUGCAGCUCCAAUCAUACCCCUAGACUGGGAAAUUCCUUAUGCGGAGGUGCAGCCCUAAAGAGCAAAAAUAUAUAAAUAAAUAAAUAAUUCCGGAAGAAAACA
This 1210-nucleotide long non-coding RNA is filed under the name Sus scrofa (pig). RNAcentral's name for it is "lncRNA (ENSSSCG00050074652.1)". Lineage: Eukaryota; Metazoa; Chordata; Mammalia; Artiodactyla; Suidae. The record is from RNAcentral.